GGAGAGAUUCAUGAAAGGCGGCGAAGGAGAAGAAGAAGGAGGUGGGUUUGAUAUAACAGGGAGCAGAGAGAUAAAGAUGAUGCCGUUCGGAGUAGGGAGAAGGAUGUGUCCUGGAUUUGGUGUGGCAAUUCUUCAUUUGGAGUAUUUCAUUGCGAAUCUAAUAUGGAGAUUUGAAUGGAAAGCCGUAAAGGGAGAGGAAGUUAGUCUGUCGGAGAAGGUGGAGUUCACAGUGGUAAUGGAAAAGCCUCUGAAGGCCAAUAUAAAUCCCAGGUGAAUUUGCUAUGUUCUGUGCUUUGUGAGUCCAAAUUCAAAGGCAGGUUAAACUCAAGACUAAUCCUUUUGGCUUUGGAUGCGUAAUUAACUACAAAUUGAAUCAUGUAUAAG
Molecule: unclassified non-coding RNA, 384 nt
Filed under: Hevea brasiliensis (rubber tree)
Lineage: Eukaryota; Viridiplantae; Streptophyta; Magnoliopsida; Malpighiales; Euphorbiaceae
Source: RNAcentral